This 468-nucleotide long non-coding RNA is filed under the name Cyanistes caeruleus (blue tit). Its description in RNAcentral is "lncRNA (ENSCCEG00000020792.1)". Lineage: Eukaryota; Metazoa; Chordata; Aves; Passeriformes; Paridae. The record is from RNAcentral.
GCUUUCUGUGCUUCCAAGUGCAGGAGCUGCUGCAAUGAGGGGUAUCAACAAAAAGGAGUUGGUGCCCAUUGUGGAUUGCUGCCAACCAACAUCUUAUAUAGGCUGAAAAUCUUUGAGUAAUAAACAUCUCAAUGUGGUAUGUUGGCAAAAGAGAAGACCCGAGACUGUCACAGAAAGUGAAAGAUGAAGCCUCUUGUUUUCUUGGUUCUUGUGAUCUGUACUGUAGUCAGCAUGAAUUUGAAGUUCGUGUCAAAGAGAAAUUCUGGGGCAGGGAGGAUCUAAAGAGAGCUGACUUGAAGAGGAGCAAGGAGAAGGUGAGCUGGUGUUGUCAGGUAAUACAAAGGCAUCGCUCAACCAAGGCAGUCAAAAUGGGGGCAGAAUGUCCAGAAGGGCUUUAUAGGUGAAACUGGAGUUGACUUGGAGAGAAAAGGUUUGGCUAGGAAAGCAUCUUCAGGGGCUGGUGCAGAA